AUGUGUCAGUUGAGGGAUUCAGUCUUUUCACCACCCUGCUGCUGGGGGCAGGCGAGCAGUAUAUUUCAGAGAUGCAUCUUAAGAUGCGGAGUCAUCACGGUCUUCAGGUUGGGUGCUGAAGGAAUCCAGUCCAGGAGCCACUGUCCCCCUGUUUCCCUCAGCAGUGACACUUUCAGGAAGCUGGCCGGUGCUCUUCACAGCUUCCUCCUUGGGUCAGGCAGUGAGGAGGACUUUGCCAAUAUGGAGCCGAGCUGAACACAGUUCAGCCCCGCUGGCUGAUUUUCAGACACUGCUCUGUUCUGGAAUGUGGCUUGGAUUACGGGCUUUGUUGGGAUGUCCCUCUAGUCGAGGUCAUGGCUUUGUCAGCAGAGACACAGCUGUGUGUCGCCAUGGAGGGCUGCCAGGCCCGGCCUCCUGCACGCUCGCAAACACGCCCUGGCGUCGCGUGGCGUUGCAGGUUUCUUGAUUUAUCUCAGAGUUUCAGUGUGAUUAAUGGCAUUUACAACAUUUUGUAUCAUUUUGAAGGCGAUUAAGGACUUCACCCGACGCAGGUCUAAAAGUGCAGCAUCACUGACCCCUUAAAGCACAAAACAGUGUAGAGUUAUAAUAAAGAAGUCAUUUGCAAAGAAUGUACGGCAAGCAAUGAAACUAAAUAUACAGGUAUUGGGGAGGUUUCUCUUGCAAAUGAGUGAUAUACAGCAUAAUUCAAAGUAUUCCACAAUAUUACCCCUUAUAAAUUUUUGUGACUAAUAGUCAGUAGUUCCUUCUAUGUCAAAUGCUGUACAGAAAUGCUAAUGAGAGCUAAUAAGCACCUUUGUGUCAUGGGACUAUAUACUGUCAGGAGACUUGUGCAGGAGAGAAGUUACCCAGUGAUGCAGUUUUGCUAUUAUAGCUGACUGAGCAGGUAUUGUGUAAUGUCUGAUCUUAAAUGUGCAUAUUUUUAGUAUAAGAAAAAAUAAAGAACUGGAUGUAAGGACUGGGAUGUAGUAUGAAGACAUGCUUAUUUUUUAUUUCACCUACUAAGCUCAGAUAAAUCCCCCCCCCCCCACACUUGCCAUUUGCUUCUCUCAUCACUUGCUGUAACAUGAUUCUUGUUGGAGGGGUGGUGGUCAGUGCUGCAGGUCACUGCUCUUGGGUCCAGGGUCCCUGAUAUAAGGGGAAGCUAUGUGAGCCUCCCCUGUUCUCACGCAGGGGUUUGUGCACCGAAGGCUGGCUGUCCAGGCUAGCUGGCAACUCGACAUUGCCCCCUCGCAGGUGCCUGAGUGCUUGUGUCCUGCAGUGGACUGGCAUCGUGUCCGGUGCCUGGUCCUGCCUUGUGCCCUGUUCCUGUCGGAUUAGGCUCCCCAUGACUCUCUGAAGGGGUUUCUGUCGUGCAUGGAUGGAUUAUUCUUUCGGCACUUUAAAAGCAGUUCGCAAUGUACGGAGAAGGAGAGAAGAGAUUAUUUCUUGGGGGUUAAAAUUGCAUGUGCAGCAUCCUGGUAGUGGUGUUACUCAGGAGAGCAGCAGAUCUUGCUAUGGACAACUGGAUUGUGCCUUUUGCAAACUUCAGAGUCUUCAUAAGUGUUAAACAUGAAGCAUUUGAGCUCAAGAAUGUGAGAGACAAACAACGCAUGUGCAUGACAUUUAAUUUUGAACAGCACAGGAUAUCAAAACCAGUUAGGUUGUUAAAUUUAGAAUCUCCAAUUAUUUUU
Molecule: long non-coding RNA, 1691 nt
Organism: Lepisosteus oculatus (spotted gar)
Lineage: Eukaryota; Metazoa; Chordata; Actinopteri; Semionotiformes; Lepisosteidae
Source: Ensembl